This is a long non-coding RNA of Mustela erminea (ermine), 1073 nucleotides long. RefSeq lists it as uncharacterized. The transcript has 4 exons. NCBI's taxonomy places the organism in Eukaryota, Metazoa, Chordata, Mammalia, Carnivora, Mustelidae. The record is from RefSeq and is a predicted model, not a curated record.
UUUUAUAAACCCUAAGAAAUGCCAUGUGAAGAGAAUUUAUAUUUAUACUUACUUCUAUCAAAAGACUGUAAGGAAGAGAGUUUCAGUUGGAGAAGAUGAGAAAAUUCUGGAGAAGGAUGGUGGUAACGGUUGCACAAUAUUGUGAAUGUACUUAAUGGCACAGAACUGUGCUUAAAAUGGCUAAAAUGGAAACCUUUGUUAUGAAAAUAAAUUUUAAAUAAAAUUAAAAAUAAAGCAUUUAUGAAUAUUCUUACUGUCUCCCCCAAAGACCAUAACUAUCUGUAGAUCCAUGAUCAAAAAACCUUUUUUUUUCCCCCCAGAAAAGCAUUCUCCAAGCUGGCAAGUUUAGGACAGAUGCUCGCUGAAGUGAGAUGAAGGACCCAUGGCUCAUCAGUUAAAGUUAACCUCAGUAAGCAAUGGGAUCAGAGAAGCUGAGGCAGUUUACCUCACAACUACCGACAGGACAUAAAACAUAAUUUCUGAUGAUGCAAGGAAGCAUCUUGGAUUUUGGCUGAACUGAGGUAAUAUAGGUGAUUAAUGUGUUUGCAAGGCAGCCAAAGAACCCACAAAACCAGAAAAUGUUCAACUUUACAACUUUAUUAAGAAGAAAUUUAUCAUUAAGUCACAACGAGAUAAAGUCGAUGAGCAUUAAGGGGAAGGGGAAACUGGAUUUAAGAUCUGGUACAGUGAGGCCCCAGGAUCUCUUCCUGAGUGCAAGCACAAAGGAGAGCAUUAUGGACCACGGAAUCUUGCCCUGCAGAUGGAUCUGGUAUGUUACUUAAUUCGAUGCUGCCUCCUAACAGCCAAGUACCAUUUCUUUGGUCCAUUUCCCCCCACAUCUGAUACAUUCCACAAAUUUCCUCCUCUCUCCUUAAACUCAAAGCCUUUUGCCUCUGCCCCUGACAAAUGACCUUGUUCUCUUCUCAAUGGAGACCACAGACAUCUAUACCCUGUUCUCCUCUUCUCUAAUUUCACUUUACUGUUACUCUGUAGGCGAGCUGGGAACAGGGGACCUUAUGAAAAGGUCAAUGACAUCACUCAGAGAAAAGAAUGCAGACAGGGAGGUUGAGGGG